GCGCAUGACUGUUAAUCAUGAUGUCGUAGGUUCGAGUCCUACUGGCGGAG
This 50-nucleotide transfer RNA is filed under the name Streptococcus equinus. RNAcentral's name for it is "partial tRNA_Asn_GTT". It matches the Rfam family "tRNA", at positions 23 to 71 of the family's 71-position model. From Rfam's summary of the family: Transfer RNA (tRNA) molecules are approximately 80 nucleotides in length. Their secondary structure includes four short double-helical elements and three loops (D, anti-codon, and T loops). Lineage: Bacteria; Bacillati; Bacillota; Bacilli; Lactobacillales; Streptococcaceae. The record is from RNAcentral.